This 466-nucleotide ribosomal RNA is filed under the name uncultured bacterium. RNAcentral describes it as "bacterial SSU rRNA". It matches the Rfam family "Bacterial small subunit ribosomal RNA", at positions 355 to 825 of the family's 1533-position model. The record is from RNAcentral.
UAGGGAAUAUUGGACAAUGGGUGAGAGCCUGAUCCAGCCAUGCCGCGUGCAGGAAGAAGGCGUUAUGCGUUGUAAACUGCUUUUGCCAGGGGAUAAAAAGACCGUGCGCGGUUAAUUGAAGGUACCUGGUGAAUAAGCCACGGCUAACUACGUGCCAGCAGCCGCGGUAAUACGUAGGUGGCAAGCGUUGUCCGGAUUUAUUGGGUUUAAAGGGUGCGUAGGUGGCCCUGUAAGUCAGUGGUGAAAUAUCUCAGCUUAACUGAGAGGGUGCCAUUGAUACUGCAGGGCUUGAGUACAGAUGAGGUAGGCGGAAUUGACGGUGUAGCGGUGAAAUGCAUAGAUAUCGUCAAGAACACCGAUAGCGAAGGCAGCUUACCAAGCUGUAACUGACACUGAGGCACGAAAGUGUGGGGAUCAAACAGGAUUAGAUACCCACGUAGUCCCUGAGCGGGCUGGCAAGGCGCAU